AUGAGCCUCAGUUUCCUCCUCUGGAAAAUGGGGAUAAUGAUAAUAUACUUAUCUAUUGGGUGGUGUGUGUGUAAGUGCUUGGGAAAAUACCUGACACUUGAAAAGUCUGUACAAAUGUUAGCUUUUAUUAUUAUAUUUUAUAUGGAGACAAAGCAAAAUGACCUCCCCUAUGUAUCUUUUUUUUUUUUUUUUAAACUUCUCUGUUUUCUCCUAGAAACAUGCAGAAAGCCAGUAGAGCCUUGGCUCCAGAACCAACCAGCAGAGAAAGUAUCUCCCAUGACUUGGGAUAUCUUCUAUCUCACAGGGAGAAGACACUUUGAAAGUUCCUCACAGACCUGUCUAUUGAUGUUCUUGGUUCCACUCUUCAGAUCUCAGCCAGUAAUCAAUCAGGAGUCCCCACUGGUAGACCUAGAUCCUGCCUAUGUUCUCAUGAACCAUGGCCAUUGGCAACUGAAAUACAGCUUAAGUGCUUGCUAAUGGAGGAGCCCACCCGCCUUGGCCCAGACCCUCCCCCACCCCAGGGGCUACAGCGCUGAGAAUCUAUGAAGAAAGGCCAGCUUGCCCGCUCACUUCAGUUUGGGGGGGAAAGAGGUAAAGAACAUUAUCAGGUCAAUUGAAGAGAGGAUUGUAUUAAUACUAAAUUUACUGAAGUUGAUUAAUAUACUGUGGUUAUGUAAGGGAAUAUUUUUGUUCUUAGUACAUACACACUGAUGUAUUUAGGAGUAAAGAGCCAUGAUGUACAUAUUUUCUUUCCAAAGAUUCAGAAAAAUGUUUUAUAUAACAUAUGGAUAUUUGUAAACACUUAUUUACAUAUAUGUCUACGUAUAUAUAAAGAGAGAGAGCAAAUGAUGAAACAAAUGGGCAAAAUGUUAACAAUAGGUGGAUCUAAGCAAAACGUAGGUGUUCUGUGUCC
Molecule: long non-coding RNA, 913 nt
Filed under: Vulpes vulpes (red fox)
Lineage: Eukaryota; Metazoa; Chordata; Mammalia; Carnivora; Canidae
Description: lncRNA (ENSVVUG00000018335.1)
Source: RNAcentral